RNAcentral lists this ribosomal RNA (253 nucleotides) under uncultured bacterium. Its description in RNAcentral is "partial 16S ribosomal RNA". It matches the Rfam family "Bacterial small subunit ribosomal RNA", at positions 524 to 776 of the family's 1533-position model. The record is from RNAcentral.
GACGAAGGGGGCUAGCGUUGUUCGGAAUUACUGGGCGUAAAGCGCGUGUAGGCGGUUGCCCAAGUCGGGUGUGAAAGCCUUGAGCUCAACUCCAGAACUGCCUUUGAUACUGGCGAUCUCGAGUCCGGGAGAGGUGAGUGGAACUGCGAGUGUAGAGGUGAAAUUCGUAGAUAUUCGCAAGAACACCAGUGGCGAAGGCGGCUCACUGGCCCGGUACUGACGCUGAGGUGCGAAAGCGUGGGGAGCAAACAGG